Molecule: ribosomal RNA, 406 nt
Filed under: uncultured bacterium
Lineage: Bacteria
Description: partial 16S ribosomal RNA
Rfam family: Bacterial small subunit ribosomal RNA
Source: RNAcentral
GAUGAACGCUGGCGGCAGGCUUAACACAUGCAAGUCGAGCGAGCGGCGGACGGGUGAGUAAUGUCUGGGAAACUGCCUGAUGGAGGGGGAUAACUACUGGACACGGUAGAUAAUCCCGCAUCCCAUCAGAUGUGCCCAGAUGGGAUUAGCUAGUAGGUGGGGUAAUGGCUCACCGAGGCGACGAUCCCUAGCUGGUCUGAGGGGAUGAACAGCCACACUGGAACUGAGACACGGUCCAGACUCCUACGGGAGGCAGCAGUGGGGAAUAUUGCACAAUGGGCGCAAGCCUGAUGCAGCCAUGCCGCGUGUGUGAAGAAGGCCUUCGGGUUGUAAAGCACUUUCAGCGAGGAGGCGUUACUCGCAGAAGAAGCACCGGCUAACUCCGUGCCAGCAGCCGCGGUAAUUC